GUUAGUGGCGCACGGGUGCGUAACGCGUGGGAAUCUGCCCUUUGCUUCGGAAUAACAGUUAGAAAUGACUGCUAAUACCGGAUGAUGUCUUCGGACCAAAGAUUUAUCGGCAAAGGAUGAGCCCGCGUAGGAUUAGGUAGUUGGUGGGGUAAAGGCCUACCAAGCCGACGAUCCUUAGCUGGUCUGAGAGGAUGAUCAGCCACACUGGGACUGAGACACGGCCCAGACUCCUACGGGAGGCAGCAGUGGGGAAUAUUGGACAAUGGGCGAAAGCCUGAUCCAGCAAUGCCGCGUGAGUGAUGAAGGCCUUAGGGUCGUAAAGCUCUUUUACCCGGGAUGAUAAUGACAGUACCGGGAGAAUAAGCCCCGGCUAACUCCGUGCCAGCAGCCGCGGUAAUACGGAGGGGGCUAGCGUUGUUCGGAAUUACUGGGCGUAAAGCGUACGUAGGCGGUUAUUCAAGUCAGAGGUGAAAGCCCGGGGCUCAACCCCGGAACGGCCUUUGAAACUAGGUAGCUAGAGUCUUGGAGAGGUCAGUGGAAUUCCGAGUGUAGAGGUGAAAUUCGUAGAUAUUCGGAAGAACACCAGUGGCGAAGGCGACUGACUGGACAAGUACUGACGCUGAGGUAC
RNAcentral lists this ribosomal RNA (628 nucleotides) under uncultured Alphaproteobacteria bacterium. RNAcentral describes it as "bacterial SSU rRNA". It matches the Rfam family "Bacterial small subunit ribosomal RNA", at positions 91 to 754 of the family's 1533-position model. Lineage: Bacteria; Pseudomonadati; Pseudomonadota; Alphaproteobacteria. The record is from RNAcentral.